GAGUUCUAUCGGGUAAAGCC
Molecule: small nuclear RNA, 20 nt
Filed under: Arabidopsis thaliana (thale cress)
Lineage: Eukaryota; Viridiplantae; Streptophyta; Magnoliopsida; Brassicales; Brassicaceae
Description: snRNA_10004
Source: RNAcentral